RNAcentral lists this ribosomal RNA (435 nucleotides) under uncultured bacterium. RNAcentral's name for it is "bacterial SSU rRNA". It matches the Rfam family "Bacterial small subunit ribosomal RNA", at positions 29 to 507 of the family's 1533-position model. The record is from RNAcentral.
AACGAACGCUGGCGGCAGGCCUAACACAUGCAAGUCGAGCGAACCCUUCGGGGUUAGCGGCUGACGGGUUAGUAACGCGUGGGAAUAUACCCUUUGGUACGGAAUAGCCUCGGGAAACUGAGAGUAAUACCGUAUGUGCCCUUCGGGGGAAAGAUUUAUCGCCAAAGGAUUAGCCCGCGUUGGAUUAGAUAGUUGGUGGGGGUAAUGGCCUACCAAGUCUACGAUCCAUAGCUGGUUUGAGAGGAUGAUCAGCAACACUGGGACUGAGACACGGCCCAGACUCCUACGGGAGGCAGCAGUGGGGAAUCUUAGACAAUGGGCGCAAGCCUGAUCUAGCCAUGCCGCGUGGACGAUGAAGGCCUUAGGGUUGUAAAGUCCCUUUCAGAUGGGAAGAUAAUGACGGUACCAUCAGAAGAAGCCCCGGCUAACUCCGUG